Molecule: ribosomal RNA, 750 nt
Filed under: uncultured bacterium
Lineage: Bacteria
Description: bacterial SSU rRNA
Rfam family: Bacterial small subunit ribosomal RNA
Source: RNAcentral
GAGAGCCUAACAUGCAGUCGAACGGAGUUGUUAUACAGAAGUUCUUCGGGAUGGAAGUAUAAGAACUUAGUGGCGGACGGGUGAGUAACGCGUGGGUAACCUGCCCUUUUGUGGGGAACAACUUCGAGAAAUCGGAGCUAAUACCGCAUAAUAAUAGAGAAUCGCAUGAUUUUCUAAGGAAAGAUGGCCUCUGAAGAUGCUAUCGCAAAAGGAUGGACCCGCGUCUGAUUAGCUAGUUGGAAGGGUAACGGCCUACCAAGGCAACGAUCAGUAGCCGGCCUGAGAGGGUGAACGGCCACAUUGGGACUGAGACACGGCCCAAACUCCUACGGGAGGCAGCAGUGGGGAAUCUUCCGCAAUGGGCGAAAGCCUGACGGAGCAAUGCCGCGUGAGUGAAGAAGGCCUUCGGGUUGUAAAACUCUGUCCUUAUCGAAGAGAGGUGGGUAUGUGAAUAAUGUACUCAUAGGACGGUAGAUAAGGAGGAAGCCCCGGCUAACUACGUGCCAGCAGCCGCGGUAAUACGUAGGUGGCAAGCGUUGUCCGGAUUUAUUGGGCGUAAAGCGAGUGCAGGCGGUUCAAUAAGUCUGAUGUGAAAGCCUUCGGCUCAGCCGGAGAAUUGCAUCAGAAACUGUUGAACUUGAGUGCAGAAGAGGAGAGUGGAACUCCAUGUGUAGCGGUGGAAUGCGUAGAUAUAUGGAAGAACACCAGUGGCGAAGGCGGCUCUCUGGUCUGCAACUUGACGCUGAGGCU